GGUCCAGACAUGGUGUAAACAAUGCCACCACAACCCAUUAGUCAAUGAUUAGAAGCCUAAUGGCAUGGCACCAGAUCUAAUCUCAAUCUUGUGUUAAGUAUUCCUAUGCAUAUUGAAGAUUCAUUAUUAUCUCUAUCAAGGGCAUGGUCCUUUACACCUCUUCAGUUUUCCAAAUCAUAACUAAUAUGUGCCAUAUGUUUAUAUUUGGAAGUUCUUUCUAAGUGAUGCAUGACC
This 234-nucleotide long non-coding RNA is filed under the name Elaeis guineensis (African oil palm). RNAcentral's name for it is "long non-coding RNA (EGUI_LNC050796)". The record is from RNAcentral. Lineage: Eukaryota; Viridiplantae; Streptophyta; Magnoliopsida; Arecales; Arecaceae.